RNAcentral lists this ribosomal RNA (253 nucleotides) under uncultured bacterium. RNAcentral describes it as "partial 16S ribosomal RNA". It matches the Rfam family "Bacterial small subunit ribosomal RNA", at positions 524 to 776 of the family's 1533-position model. The record is from RNAcentral.
UACGUAGGUGGCAAGCGAUACUCGGAAUCACUAGGCGUAAAGCGCAGGUAGGCGGUUUGGUAAGUCUUUUGUGAAAGCUCCCGGCUUAACUGGGAGAGGUCAAGGGAAACUACCGGACUAGAGUGUGGUAGGGGAUACUGGAAUUCCUGGUGUAGCGGUGAAAUGCGUAGAGAUGUGGAGGAACACCAAUGGCGAAGGCAGCCUUCUGGGCCAACACUGACGCUCAUGCACGAAAGCGUGGGGAGCAAACAGG